Aegilops tauschii subsp. strangulata is the source of this 1288-nucleotide non-coding RNA. Lineage: Eukaryota; Viridiplantae; Streptophyta; Magnoliopsida; Poales; Poaceae. The record is from RefSeq and is a predicted model, not a curated record.
AGAUCACCAACCCCCUCUCCUCACUCCCAGAAACCUCCCCGGCCUCUCCUCCGAGCUCGAGAUGGUCCAGAGCCCUCCCAUGGCUGCCUCGGCCAUCACCGGUUGCUGCCUAAAUUGGCAAGCCCGAGCCCAUCCCUCUCUUCCUCCACCACCUCGGCCCUCCCCUAGUACUCUAGAGCCACUCCAGCGCUUCCCUUCCUUCCCCGGUGGCUCUGUUCUUCGAGGUCGCCAGAGCCCGAAGGCCUCGUCCGCCGGCGCCCAUGUUGCCAUCGCCCUGGUCCACCCCACCGUCUGUGGAUGGGCCCUGGAGAUGCGCUGGAGUCCGUUGAUCUCGUCCAUGUGCGGAGCCUCGCCGGAGAUGCCCUGUAGCUCCGGCAGGCCUUGUCGGGGCCGGCUCUGCCGCGGCCAGGCGCGGGCGAGAGGAAGGAGACGAAGGCCCCGAACCCCUCCCUGCUAGCUGGCCGGUGGACCCCGCGGUCCCACCCGUCAGCCAGUCAGUCGUUGACCCCGCCCCUGGCCACGUGCCCAGGGACCUGUUUGUGGAGAAAUCUUUACAAAUUGGUCCCUGAACUUUGUCGAGCUAUAACUUUUUGCUCGCAACUCCGUUUGAGCUCCUCCGAGAGAGAACUAUUUCCGGUGAUUCUUUCCGCGGCUUCACCGCACUUCUUCCCGGUGAUUUCUUCAUCCCCAGGCAAGCCACAACCACCAUUUGCAUGAUAGCCAUGCAGUAGCAUUGGUUUUCAACCUGAACCUUUAAUAACUGUAUGUUUGUUUUGCUACUGUUGUCGUUAUUUCGGUUAUGCUUAUGGAUCGGUGAUUACUCUCAUGCUAUGCUUUCUUGCACUUUGUUAUCAUGAACUACUUGCUAGUAUUACUUUCAUAUUGCCAUGCUUGGUAGUAGUACAUGUUAGUUUGGUCAUGUUCUUCGGUGCAUGACUGUCGUUGGUUACCGAGUAUCGUUGAUAUGCAUUGUUCUUUUUCUAUUAGUGGGUUAAGUGUUUACUCGGUAAUGUUAUUGAUGUGUUCUUGCAUGGUAUUUAUUGCCGAUGCUAGUGGUCAUGUUAUGCUAUGAGUAGUGUUGUACUUGUGAUAUUCAUGCUCGUCAUUAUGCCAUGCUCAGUUGGAUAUGAUUCAUUGUUAAUACGGUUGCCGCACCCCAUGCUUAUAUCAUGCUCAUGCAUUAUAAUUGCAUCAUGUUAUUUUAUCAUGGCUCAGCAUAUUGCAUUCAAGUUUAACCAGAUUAAAUUGAACUUGAACAACUGUUGGCUGAGUCAUGGUGCCACCACAU